This 485-nucleotide ribosomal RNA is filed under the name uncultured bacterium. RNAcentral's name for it is "partial 16S ribosomal RNA". It matches the Rfam family "Bacterial small subunit ribosomal RNA", at positions 28 to 507 of the family's 1533-position model. The record is from RNAcentral.
GAUGAACGCUGGCGGCGUGCUUAACACAUGCAAGUCGAACGGGAUCCAAGGGGUGCUUGCCCUUUUUGGUGAGCGUGGCGAACGGGUGAGUAACAUGUGAGAAACCUGUCCUUUACUUUGGGAUAUGCAUUCGACAGGGUGUUUAAUACCUUAUGUUCUGUCUGCGUCGCAUGGGGUGGGGGGGAACGGCUUUGGCCGGAUUUGGGUGGGCUCGCGGUCUAUCGGCUUGUUGGUGGGGUGAUGGCUUACCCAGGCUUUGACGGGUAGCCGGCCUGAGAGGGUGGGCGGUCACAUGGGGACUGAGAUCCGGCCCAGACUCCUGCGGGAGGCAGCAGUGGGGGAUAUUGCACAAUGGGCGAAAGCCUGAUGCAGCGAGGCCGCGUGGGGGAUGAAGGCUUUCGGGUUGUAAACUUCUUUGGCGCUGAACAAGGCAUGCCAGUGGGUGUGUUGAGGGUAGGGGUGGAUUAGCGCCGGCUAACUACGUG